CGGUGAUUAGAUGAUUUAUCCACGCUUGUGAGAGUAAUCUAUUAAGCAUAUGUUUUUAAAAAAUGGUUGAAUUUCUUAAUAUGAGCCU
This 88-nucleotide small nucleolar RNA is filed under the name Solanum tuberosum (potato). Lineage: Eukaryota; Viridiplantae; Streptophyta; Magnoliopsida; Solanales; Solanaceae. The record is from RNAcentral.